This 3394-nucleotide long non-coding RNA is filed under the name Sus scrofa (pig). RNAcentral's name for it is "lncRNA (ENSSSCG00040022431.1)". The record is from RNAcentral. Lineage: Eukaryota; Metazoa; Chordata; Mammalia; Artiodactyla; Suidae.
CACAAAGCCUAAAGGAGCCUAGAACUGUUAGAAAAUUAUACAUUCAUUGAAAGAGUUCAUUUCAAUAAAGAGGCCUCGAAGAAAAUCACUCUUCUCCUGCAAACACACACCACCUGCGGGGAGAGGAGGCCGGUUGUAAGUGAUGGAAGGGGCACACUACUACUGGAUUUUAUGGAGGUGGGAGAAAACGAUCAAAGGGAGAGCAGAGUUGCUUCUGGGAAGCAAUUGCCUGGCCAGAGACUACAUUUCCCAGCCUCCCUUGCACGGAUGUGGGACUAUGGACUAGCUCUUAUCAGUGAAACAAGAGCAGAGCUGAAGAGGUGCUGUAUUCCAGGGACCAUGACACCUCACCUUCCGGCUCCUGCAUCCUUCCUGCAGUAUCUAAGGGGACAGUGAGUUUAGAUGCCACUGAUACAAUCCCAACAUCACAAAAUGGAAGGAGUUUGGGUUCCAGAGUAACCAGCCUCACAGGAGAGCUGCCAGACUUGCCUUGGACAGUGACACGAGGGAGAAACAAACGUAUAUGUGAGAUCGCUGAGGUCAUGUUACCGCGACUGAAGUAAGAUAAGGUGGUGUCCGGAGUAUGGGGUCUGGAGCUUGACUACCUGGAUUCAAAUCCCUGCUCAGUCAUCUCUUGGCUGUGUGACUUAAGAUGAGAAGAUACAUCUGCUUCUGCUUCUAAGAGUCGGUGAUUCUCAUCCUUCUCUCUGCACUUGCCCUUGCCGUGUCCUUGGUCAGCACAGAGGAAGGACAACAGCCCAUCUCCCUCACAUCGGAAGUGGCUCCACAAGUUGGCCUUCACUGCCAUCAACCCUAACAGGUGUGGUGCUCUAUCUCCACAGUCCUCCAGAGCGCCCUCAAGUCCCUCAGGGUGUCUUUACUCCAAGAAGGGGUUCUAGACUAGACAAGCAGAGGUGUUGCAGAAAGGAAGAUACUGCAAAGGAUUCAGGCAGCAAAGGGUGUGCUCCCCACACUGGGGAAGACAUCUGGGCAGAAGGGCCUGGGCUGGACCUCACAUCCAUCCCUCUUCCCUUGGGGUCCUUGACCACCCUUGAGAAUGGCACCUACAUGCUCUAAUUCUCCAUAAAAUCCAGAGGCAAAAUGUCCCUGCUGUAAAGACCUUGAACCCUUUUUGGGAAGGUUUUAUGAACUUAAUAUCAUGGGUUGCUCUAACCCCAACCUUUGUCCUGACAGCAUCUGCUCAGGGAGUUUGAGAUUCAGCCAGUCUGUAAAGAGCUUCAGAUCCAGGGCUUUGAGGUGGGGAGAAGUGGUCACCUUGGAGAAAGCAGGAAACUGUGGCCAGCUGGGGCAUUCUUUGCUAUAGAUUCCAAGAGACAAACUUGCUGAUCCCAGGUCAAGUCUGCCCCUGCUUCCCUGCAUCUAGAACCAUCUCUGGCUCCACCUCCCAUUAACACCCCAGAACAGAUUCCCUACCCACCUCCUCAAGAAGAACAUUGCCUCCGGGGAUUUUCUAAGAGUUUUUAGGAUAAGCAGCAGUUAGAAGCUAACAAUAAGUAAAAUUUCCAGAAAUCAAGAGAAACUUGCAAUGUUCCUUGACACUUUAAAUGAUGCACUUGAAACAAGAGGCUUACAUUAGGAUCUAAAUUAGAGUUCUUGAGUGGCUUUUUGUAUUUUUUCUUUCACGUUAACCUGACUACAACUUUAUCUUCUCCAUUCACUUCCAAGAAGUCCUUAUAUAAUAAAGAGUUGAAGGUCUUAACCUCUCAAUCUCAACUCAACUCAAAUUACAAAGUUUACAUGCCUUUGGGGAUGGCUGUAUUAAGUAAAUAGAGAGGAAUGGUCACAUUCAGUGUAAGCUAAAACACCCAAGGCUGGCAGUAGGAAAAGGAGCUACCUACCUAUCAGGUCUUUCAUAAAGCCAGUCCCUUAAGUAGAAAGAAUAAAGUUCUCUCAAGACUUACCCUAUGGACUGCCUUUCACAGCUGGUUCAUAUUUAUAAGCCAAUUUGUCUGGAAGUAAAUCUCUUUAACACACCCAACUGACUCCAAGAGGUGUGUCCCAUGGGAACCAAUCUUAAAUAACUGUCUCAAGAAAAGUUUUAGCAGCAAUAUUGUCAGUCCUGGAAUUUCCACCUUUGGGGGGAAAAAAAAUCAACAAUAGAAUGCUUGGAAAUACAGAAUACACAGAGUUUAGCAAACUGCCAAAUUAAAUUCAGACACACACACACAAAUUUGCUAAUACCUGGUUAAAGAGUUGGCAUGGGAAGAAACAGACUUCUCAUUCAAGCCUGAAGCUCGGUAAUGGGUCAUUUGACCUGAAAUAACUUGGGCGGAAGUUGGCCUUAUUGUCUUCCACAAUCUCUUCCCACACAGUCAAAAAAGGGGAUGCAAUCUUAAGAUUUUUUCUUCCUCAUUCUCUCCCGCCCUUUCUCCUCUCCCUCCCUCCCUUUUAUUUUCUCUCUCUCCUUUCUUCCUUCUUUUCUUUCUCUUUCAAUCUUUGGGCAUCAAAAAGGGUAUCCCAGAAAACUUCAAAUGAAGUUUUAGAAGAGGACCGUGUGUUGGUUUCAGUUGUUUUUAGGGUGGGGGCUUGAACAACCUCAUCUCAAAAACGGAGAUUUUUUUUAUUACCUCUUUUGGUUGAGAUAUAAUUAAUAUAUAAUAAAGCUAUCUAAUUUACUGAAUUGGUCUGAUUCACAAGUUAAAUAAGGUUAAAUCAAAGAAAACAUGUAUAAGUCCCUCUAGACAGUGUCCAGGGUUGACUGGAUUAUAAACAGACAUAACCACUGAGGUCACUUUUUAAUUUAAAAACCCUCAAUGGCUCCUGACUUCCUACAGAACAGUCUAAAAAUCUAAGGCUCAAAAAUGUCAGGCUCUCCUUUCUAGUGCUACCUGCUGCCCCCAUCUCUUAUACAUACCAUUUGUCAGAUGCAACCAGAUAAUAGAAAUUUCCAGUCUCUCAGCUUCCUCCUGCUGCCCCAGGUCUGCUUAUCAAGGCCCUGCCCAUCCUUCAAAGUCAGAAGUCAUCUCCUCCAUGGAGUCCUCCAGGUCAGUCCUGCUGGUAUUCAUUUCCUUGCCUAUGGCCUAUCUCAUUACAUUGUUAUUGCUGCUAAGGUAUUUGACACAUUCUGUUUCAUAUUAACUACUUCCUGUGACGAGCACCCUUCUUUCGUGUAAUUUUGAUAAACAUUCAUUGAGCAUCUAUAAUAUGUGGGCAGAGAGCCAGGCAUGGGGAGGAGCUCGGCAGAGGUACAGAGAUGAGUGAUGUGGUGUUUACUCUGGAAGAGCUCAGGGCCUGGUGGGGAGCCUUGAGGUGGCAAGUCCCACCAUGCACGAUCCAUCUCCAGCAGUGUCUACGGUUUCCAUGCACACCAGAUAUAGAUGCUAAUACAAAUGAAGCCGUGCUAAAGGUAAAAAAAAAAAAAAAAAAAAAAAAA